CGCUGGCGGCGUGCUUAACACAUGCAAGUCGAACGGUGAAGCCCCGCUUGCGGGGUGGAUCAGUGGCGAACGGGUGAGUAACACGUGAGCAACCUGCCCCUGACUCUGGGAUAAGCGCUGGAAACGGCGUCUAAUACUGGAUACGAGACGUGAUCGCAUGGUCAACGUUUGGAAAGAUUUUUCGGUUGGGGAUGGGCUCGCGGCCUAUCAGCUUGUUGGUGAGGUAAUGGCUCACCAAGGCGUCGACGGGUAGCCGGCCUGAGAGGGUGACCGGCCACACUGGGACUGAGACACGGCCCAGACUCCUACGGGAGGCAGCAGUGGGGAAUAUUGCACAAUGGGCGCAAGCCUGAUGCAGCAACGCCGCGUGAGGGAUGACGGCCUUCGGGUUGUAAACCUCUUUUAGCAGGGAAGAAGCGAGAGUGACGGUACCUGCAGAAAAAGCACCGGCUAACUACGUGCCAGCAGCCGCGGUAAUACGUAGGGUGCAAGCGUUAUCCGGAAUUAUUGGGCGUAAAGAGCUCGUAGGCGGUUUGUCGCGUCUGCUGUGAAAUCUGGGGGCUCAACCCCCAGCCUGCAGUGGGUACGGGCAGACUAGAGUGCGGUAGGGGAGAUUGGAAUUCCUGGUGUAGCGGUGGAAUGCGCAGAUAUCAGGAGGAACACCGAUGGCGAAGGCAGAUCUCUGGGCCGUAACUGACGCUGAGGAGCGAAAGG
RNAcentral lists this ribosomal RNA (714 nucleotides) under uncultured bacterium. RNAcentral's name for it is "bacterial SSU rRNA". It matches the Rfam family "Bacterial small subunit ribosomal RNA", at positions 34 to 760 of the family's 1533-position model. The record is from RNAcentral.